This 302-nucleotide ribosomal RNA is filed under the name uncultured soil bacterium. Its description in RNAcentral is "bacterial SSU rRNA". It matches the Rfam family "Bacterial small subunit ribosomal RNA", at positions 841 to 1142 of the family's 1533-position model. The record is from RNAcentral.
GGGUGCCGUAACUAACGCUUUAAGCAUUCCGCCUGGGGAGUACGGUCGCAAGACUGAAACUCAAAGGAAUUGACGGGGACCCGCACAAGCGGUGGACCAUGUGGUUUAAUUCGACGCAACGCGAAGAACUUACCUGGGCUAAAAUGCCCCUAACAACCCUAUAGAUACGGCCUUCUGGGUAAAACCAGACAGGGUGCUAGUGCUGCAUGGCUGUCUUCACCUCGUGUCUUGAGAUAUUGGUGUAGUCCCGCAACGAGCGCAACCCUUAUCAAUAUUUGCCGGCGGUUCUGCCGGGCACUCUA